This 1074-nucleotide long non-coding RNA is filed under the name Junco hyemalis (dark-eyed junco). RNAcentral's name for it is "lncRNA (ENSJHYG00000002046.1)". The record is from RNAcentral. Lineage: Eukaryota; Metazoa; Chordata; Aves; Passeriformes; Passerellidae.
GUCCCCCCGUGCCCCCCUCCCCAGAAUUCUUCAUCGACGGCCUGGGGGUGCUGCACGUGGGCUCGUGCGAGGACGUGGUGGUGGAUCACGCGUCCAAGCUGGCGCUGCCGUGGCGGCGCUCGGAGGGGGAGCGGCAGUACAACCGGUACCGGUACCCGGCCGCCCGCGACGACAGCGUGCGCCUCAAGCAGCGCCUCUUCUUCUUCAAGAACCGCUUCAAGUGCAUGGCCGGCGACUAGCGGCGACACCGGGGCACCGGGACACCGGGCGUGGUCACCCCGGAGCCACCGGGCGGGGACACUGGGCGUGGUCACCAGGCGGGGACACCGGGGCCAUCCCGGGGCUACCGGUGGGGACACCCUGAGGCCACCGGGGUUACCGGGCAUGGUCACCAGGCAGGGCCGCCAGCCCCGGCCACUGCUGACCAGCCCUGGGUGCCACCCCCGGGGAGGUGACAAGGAGGUGGCACCAGGUCGCCACCCCCAGGGGGGUCACGGGACACGCCAAGGACAUCGCUGACCCCCGGCCACCAGUCCUGGCCAACCCUGGGUGCCACCGGGCUGCUGGCACUGCGGUGGUGCCACCCCCAGAGCGGUGACAGGGGGGUGGCACAGGGUCACCACCCACAGGGGGGUCAUGGGACACGCCAAGGACGUCACUGACCCCCGGCCACCAGCGUGGGCCACAUCUGGGGUCACUGCUGCUGGCCAUGCCUGCCGUGUCCCCAGAGCUACCCCCAUGGCUACCAAGCCCAAUGGGCCACCUCCUGUGGGCCACCCCUGGGGUGUCCCCAGAGCCACAAGCGUGGCUACUCCAUGGUCACCCCCAGGGCCACCACUGCAAUGUCCCCAGGGCCACAAGCGAGGGCCACUGGCCACAUCUGGGUCACCCCCAGGGCCACCAAGCCUGGGGCACCCCUGGGGUGGCUCUGCCCCCUUUGGCCACCCCACGGGCCACCACCCCCAGCCCCGGCUGCCCUCGGGGUGCCCACAGGGCCACUGGGUGACACGGGGUGGCCACUGCCACCAUGGGCCUCCUCAAGGGUCACCCCCCAUGGGCCACCACCUGUGGGAC